AUACGUAGGUGGCAAGCGUUGUCCGGAUUUACUGGGUGUAAAGGGCGAGUAGGCGGAUCAUCAAGUCAGAUGUGAAAUGCGGAGGCUUAACCUCCGAGCUGCAUUUGAAACUGGCGAUCUUGAGUGAUGGAGAGGCAGGUGGAAUUCCUGGUGUAGCGGAGAAAUGCGUAGAGAUCGGGAGGAAGACCGGUGGGGAAGGGGUCGCUCUGGAACGUUCCUGACACUGAGGAACGAAGGCGUGGGGAGCAAGCAGGAUUAGAUUCCCUGGUAGUCCACGCCCAAAACGAUGGGUACUAAGGGUCGGCGGUUUACCGCCGGUGCCGCACCUAACGGAGUAAGUACCCCGCCUGGGGAGUACGGCCGCAAGGUUGAAACUCAAAUGAAUUGACGG
RNAcentral lists this ribosomal RNA (391 nucleotides) under uncultured bacterium. RNAcentral's name for it is "partial 16S ribosomal RNA". It matches the Rfam family "Bacterial small subunit ribosomal RNA", at positions 523 to 916 of the family's 1533-position model. The record is from RNAcentral.